This 319-nucleotide ribosomal RNA is filed under the name uncultured eukaryote. Its description in RNAcentral is "partial 18S ribosomal RNA". It matches the Rfam family "Eukaryotic small subunit ribosomal RNA", at positions 1470 to 1796 of the family's 1831-position model. The record is from RNAcentral.
CCCUUAGAUGUUCUCGGCAGCACGCGCGCUACAAUGGUCUUCGCAAACGGAUGCAUUCUCGAAGGAGAAUGCCAAUCUUGGAAUCUAUGCCUUGGUCGGGACAGUUGCUUGCAAUUUUUCGACUCGAACCAGGAAUUCCUUGUAAUCGUGAUUCAUCACAUCACGAUGAAUACGUCCCUGCCCUUUGUACACACCGCCCGUCGCUCCUACCGAUCGAAGAGUUAGGUGAAUUGUUUUGAUCGAUAAGAUUUGACUAUGGUCAACUCUCGUUGUGAAAUUCUGUGAAUCUGACUGUUUAGAGGAAGGAAAAGUCGUAACA